RNAcentral lists this ribosomal RNA (442 nucleotides) under uncultured bacterium. Its description in RNAcentral is "partial 16S ribosomal RNA". It matches the Rfam family "Bacterial small subunit ribosomal RNA", at positions 338 to 795 of the family's 1533-position model. The record is from RNAcentral.
CCUACGGGUGGCAGCAGUGGGGAAUAUUGGGCAAUGGGCGCAAGCCUGACCCAGCAACGCCGCGUGAAGGAAGAAGGCUUUCGGGUUGUAAACUUCUUUUCUCAGGGACGAAGAAAGUGACGGUACCUGAUGAAUAAGCCACGUCUAACUACGUGCCAGCAGCCGCGGUAAUACGUAGGUGGCAAGCGUUAUCCGGAUUUACUGGGUGUAAAGGUCGUGUAGGCGGGGAAGCAAGUCAGAUGUGAAAGCCACGGGCUCAACCUGUGGCCUGCAUUUGAAACUGUUUUUCUUGAGUACUGGAGAGGCAGACGGAAUUCCUAGUGUAGCGGUGAAAUGCGUAGAUAUUAGGAGGAACACCAGUGGCGAGGGCGGUCUGCUGGACAGCAACUGACGCUGAGGCGCGAAAGCGUGGGGAGCAAACAGGAUUAGAUACCCAGUAGUC